RNAcentral lists this unclassified non-coding RNA (369 nucleotides) under Hevea brasiliensis (rubber tree). Lineage: Eukaryota; Viridiplantae; Streptophyta; Magnoliopsida; Malpighiales; Euphorbiaceae. The record is from RNAcentral.
UUUGGUUGAAACUGUAUAGAUAGUUGACAUGGUUCAGAACCUAGAAGCUAUCAAGGGCAGUGGAGGUUCCAUCAAGGUGGGGACCACUGGAACAAUCAGUGCACUGNNNNNNNNNNNNAUUAAAUCUGCAUCACAGGCAUCAGUAUCUCAUCAAGAUAAGCCUAAGACUGUUCCUAUCUCAGUUCCCUGUAGUGCAACUACUCCUAGAAGACUACGAGCAAGAAAAUCAUUGGAUGAAGCAAGCAGCAGUGGUAGUAGCAGCAGUACUAAAUGUAGAAGCCCUGAAACAGCUCGGAAGAUGAAAAGCUACACUAAAAGUGCCCAUCGAAUGCCAAUGCUCCGUUCUGAGAAUGUAACACUGGAGAGAAC